UGGGGAAUAUUGGACAAUGGGCGAAAGCCUGAUCCAGCCAUGCCGCGUGUGUGAAGAAGGUCUUCGGAUUGUAAAGCACUUUAAGUUGGGAGGAAGGGCAGUAAGCGAAUACCUUGCUGUUUUGACGUUACCGACAGAAUAAGCACCGGCUAACUCUGUGCCAGCAGCCGCGGUAAUACAGAGGGUGCAAGCGUUAAUCGGAAUUACUGGGCGUAAAGCGCGCGUAGGUGGUUCGUUAAGUUGAAUGUGAAAGCCCCGGGCUCAACCUGGGAACUGCAUCCAAAACUGGCGAGCUAGAGUAGGGCAGAGGGUGGUGGAAUUUCCUGUGUAGCGGUGAAAUGCGUAGAUAUAGGAAGGAACACCAGUGGCGAAGGCGACACCCUGGGCUCAUACUGACACUGAGGUGCGAAAGCGUGGGGAGCAAACAGG
This 429-nucleotide ribosomal RNA is filed under the name Pseudomonadota bacterium. Its description in RNAcentral is "Proteobacteria bacterium partial 16S ribosomal RNA". It matches the Rfam family "Bacterial small subunit ribosomal RNA", at positions 355 to 776 of the family's 1533-position model. Lineage: Bacteria; Pseudomonadati; Pseudomonadota. The record is from RNAcentral.